AACGCGAAGAACCUUACCUGGGCUCGAACGGCUAUGGACAAUCCUUGGAAACAGGGACUUCUCGCAAGAGACUGUAGUCGAGGUGCUGCAUGGCUGUCGUCAGCUCGUGUCGUGAGAUGUUGGGUUAAGUCCCGCAACGAGCGCAACCCUUGUCCUGUGUUGCCAUCAUUUAGUUGGGCACUCUCAGGAGACCGCCAGCGAUAAGCUGGAGGAAGGUGGGGAUGAUGUCAAGUCAUCAUGGCCUUUAUGUCCAGGGCUACACACGUGCUACAAUGGCCGGUACAAAGCGCUGCAAACUCGCAAGAGGGAGCUAAUCGCAAAAAACCGGUCUCAGUUCGGAUCGCAGGCUGCAACUCGCCUGCGUGAAGCUGGAAUCGCUAGUAAUGCCGUAUCAGAACGAUGGCGUGAAUACGUUCCCGGGCCUUGUA
RNAcentral lists this ribosomal RNA (428 nucleotides) under uncultured Acidobacterium sp. RNAcentral describes it as "bacterial SSU rRNA". It matches the Rfam family "Bacterial small subunit ribosomal RNA", at positions 958 to 1385 of the family's 1533-position model. Lineage: Bacteria; Pseudomonadati; Acidobacteriota; Terriglobia; Terriglobales; Acidobacteriaceae. The record is from RNAcentral.